This is a long non-coding RNA of Nothoprocta perdicaria, 421 nucleotides long. RefSeq lists it as uncharacterized. The record is from RefSeq and is a predicted model, not a curated record. The transcript has 3 exons. NCBI's taxonomy places the organism in Eukaryota, Metazoa, Chordata, Aves, Tinamiformes, Tinamidae.
UGUAGAGAACUAUCUCUGUGUCUACUUCAAAGGCAGGUGAUACCAGACUCAGGAAUAUUUGAAAACCUAUUCUCAUAAAUUUAUUCUCAAAGGUGUGUGGGUUCUGAGCUACCACAACGCUGAGAUGGUUUCCCCUGCGCAGCAAUUUCUGAGCAUUAUUCUCAAUGCCUCACUUGGCUGACUGGAGGUCCGCGAUGCACAUAAAUAGAAACACUGCAAGUGAAGAAGUUUCUGCUGCUUUUUGAUGAGUUUCCUGCGGAUGGCUACCACAUGCUCAGGCACCAAUCAGCACUUUGAAAGUUGACCGAACAGCAAACUCUGGAGCUGGCAGCAGUUUCUGGUGGGAUUCUCUCUUUUCUGCUCUGCUUAUGAUCGGGGGGCUUUUGCCCAGAAUGAUUUGUUUUUUUCACUGAUAAAAAUA